RNAcentral lists this unclassified non-coding RNA (359 nucleotides) under Hevea brasiliensis (rubber tree). Lineage: Eukaryota; Viridiplantae; Streptophyta; Magnoliopsida; Malpighiales; Euphorbiaceae. The record is from RNAcentral.
GGGGAGGAGUCACUUGCGACAACAUAACCGGCCAUGUGGUCAAGCUCGACCUUUCCUCGGAGUCCUGGGCCUCAGUCCAGGGAAAGGUUUCCCUUCAUCUUGGAAACCUUUCAAACUUGCAGUAUCUUGAUCUCAGUGCGAAUAAUGAAUUGGCAAUUGACAGUCUCCAUUUUGCGUCUUCUUUGAAAUACUUGAACAUGGAGGGUGUGCUCCUGGACAAGUGUGACAAUUGGUUGCAGUCAAUAAACAUGCUUCCUUUUCUACUAGAAUCAGAUUUGUCUUCUUGUGGGCUUUCCAUCACUGGUCAUGUUUCACAUGUCAAUCUUACAUCUCUUGAGGUUCUUACUCUUAGUUGGAAC